Molecule: ribosomal RNA, 253 nt
Filed under: uncultured bacterium
Lineage: Bacteria
Description: partial 16S ribosomal RNA
Rfam family: Bacterial small subunit ribosomal RNA
Source: RNAcentral
UACGAAGGGGGCUAGCGUUGCUCGGAAUUACUGGGCGUAAAGCGUGCGCAGGCGGUUUUGUAAGUCUGACGUGAAAUCCCCGGGCUUAACCUGGGAAUUGCGUUGGAGACUGCAAGGCUGGAGUCUGGCAGAGGGGGGUAGAAUUCCACGUGUAGCAGUGAAAUGCGUAGAGAUGUGGAGGAACACCGAUGGCGAAGGCAGCCCCCUGGGUCAAGACUGACGCUCAUGCACGAAAGCGUGGGGAGCAAACAGG